UUAGAUUGGUGCAAAAGUAAUUGCGGUUUUUGCCAUUUCAAAGCAAUUGCAAAAGUAGCAAUUACUUUUGUACCAACCUAAUA
This 83-nucleotide microRNA precursor is filed under the name Saimiri boliviensis boliviensis (Bolivian squirrel monkey). Its description in RNAcentral is "miRNA (ENSSBOG00000019844.1)". Lineage: Eukaryota; Metazoa; Chordata; Mammalia; Primates; Cebidae. The record is from RNAcentral.